This 494-nucleotide ribosomal RNA is filed under the name uncultured bacterium. Its description in RNAcentral is "partial 16S ribosomal RNA". It matches the Rfam family "Bacterial small subunit ribosomal RNA", at positions 28 to 506 of the family's 1533-position model. The record is from RNAcentral.
GACGAACGCUGGCGGCGUGCCUAAUACAUGCAAGUAGAACGCUGAAGGAGGAGCUUGCUUCUCCGGAUGAGUUGCGAACGGGUGAGUAACGCGUAGGUAACCUGCCUGGUAGCGGGGGAUAACUAUUGGAAACGAUAGCUAAUACCGCAUAACAGUAGAUAUUGCAUGAUAUCUGCUUGAAAGGUGCAAUUGCAUCACUACCAGAUGGACCUGCGUUGUAUUAGCUAGUUGGUGAGGUAACGGCUCACCAAGGCGACGAUACAUAGCCGACCUGAGAGGGGGAUCGGCCACACUGGGACUGAGACACGGCCCAGACUCCUACGGGAGGCAGCAGUAGGGAAUCUUCGGCAAUGGACGGAAGUCUGACCGAGCAACGCCGCGUGAGUGAAGAAGGUUUUCGGAUCGUAAAGCUCUGUUGUAAGAGAAGAACGAGUGUGAGAGUGGAAAGUUCACACUGUGACGGUAUCUUACCAGAAAGGGACGGCUAACUACGU